UUGCAUCCCUGGCAUCGCCAUCAUUGCAGACAAUUGACCUGUUGACUUCACUUCACAGUCCUGUGGUGUGUUGUUGAUUUUGGUUGGAUCAUACCCGAAAUCCCCCAGGUACGCCUUGUACUUGUCUAUGAAUGCCUCUCCUGGAUUAGGCGUCCUUGAGUAUAUCUUUAAAGUCCCAAUAAACCCAAUACAUAUAUCAGUCAGAUUGAAUAGAACAUACUACUAGCUACUAGUGGUGCUGUUAGAAAGCUUUUGAAGAACACAAAGCAAAAUGAGGCUAAGUGUAGUUGGUUGAUUUUACCUGAACAAAGCUUUUGUCUUUGGCACCAGAAACAAGAGCAAAGUUGUCAUAAUCAGUGGCGAUGACAUCAUAAGGCUCCUUGGGGAUGAAAGGAAGUGUUGGGAAACGAAGGUAGCAUUUCUCUCUGAUCAUCUCCAGUUUCUCAAGAUCGGUCUCGUUUUUCUCCAGAUCUUGGUC
RNAcentral lists this long non-coding RNA (478 nucleotides) under Linum usitatissimum (flax). RNAcentral describes it as "long non-coding RNA (LUSI_LNC006414)". Lineage: Eukaryota; Viridiplantae; Streptophyta; Magnoliopsida; Malpighiales; Linaceae. The record is from RNAcentral.